RNAcentral lists this ribosomal RNA (274 nucleotides) under uncultured bacterium. RNAcentral describes it as "partial 16S ribosomal RNA". It matches the Rfam family "Bacterial small subunit ribosomal RNA", at positions 523 to 796 of the family's 1533-position model. The record is from RNAcentral.
AUACGGGGGGGACUAACAUUGUUCGGAUUUACUGGGCGUAAAGGUUGCGUAGGCGGACCUUCAAGUCGGAUUUGAAAACUAUAUGCUCAACUUAUAGCUUGCAUUCGAUACUGUCGGUCUUGAGUUAAUUAGAGGAAUGUGGAAUUCCAGGUGUAGCGGUGAAAUGCGUAGAUAUCUGGAGGAACACCAGUAGCGAAGGCGACAUUCUGGGAUUAUACUGACGCUGAAGCACGAAGGCUAGGGGAGCAAACAGGAUUAGAAACCCUUGUAGUCC